Molecule: ribosomal RNA, 84 nt
Filed under: Bacteroides sp. 4_1_36
Lineage: Bacteria; Pseudomonadati; Bacteroidota; Bacteroidia; Bacteroidales; Bacteroidaceae
Source: RNAcentral
UCAGGUGACUACAGCACCGGGGUUCCACCUCUUCCCAUUCCGAACAGAGAAGUUAAGCCCGGUCACGCCGAUGGUACUGCGUAA